Molecule: ribosomal RNA, 300 nt
Filed under: uncultured bacterium
Lineage: Bacteria
Description: bacterial SSU rRNA
Rfam family: Bacterial small subunit ribosomal RNA
Source: RNAcentral
AUGAUCUUCGGAUUAAAGCAUUUAUGCGCUUUGGGAGCGGCCCGCGUCGGAUUAGCUUGUUGGUGAGGUAAAGGCUCACCAAGGCGACGAUCCGUAGCUGGUCUGAGAGGAUGAUCAGCCAGACUGGGACUGAGACACGGCCCAGACUCCUACGGGAGGCAGCAGUAAGGAAUCUUCCACAAUGGGCGAAAGCCUGAUGGAGCAACGCCGCGUGCAGGAUGAAGGCCCUCGGGUCGUAAACUGCUUUUAUAAGUGAAGAAUAUGACGGUAACUUAUGAAUAAGGAUCGGCUAACUACGUG